This 686-nucleotide long non-coding RNA is filed under the name Mytilus galloprovincialis (Mediterranean mussel). The record is from RNAcentral. Lineage: Eukaryota; Metazoa; Mollusca; Bivalvia; Mytilida; Mytilidae.
GUUCAACGACUCUGACGGAAGAUAUCUGUUAGACAUCUGUCGCCAUAUUCGGGAUGAUCAGGUACUGUCGGAGCGCAAUCCUAUCACAGUCUGCUGUACUGCAUUGCAAACGGCUUGAUCUGGAGUCGUAUCGUGUUCUGUAGCUGUUGUGACUCUGACGUGGGUUUUGGCGAAUAUUGCGACAGUUUUCUUACGGCUGCCUUCAAUCAGCGUUGGUCACUGUCUAAUCACUAUCUGGUCCGAGUACACAGUUAUCGUCCCUUGAUUUUCGUUGUCCACGAAUAUAGUCCCUACUGUGGACAGUGUGUUACUUGUCAAUUUUUUUUAUACCCCUUCCAAAUUUAUUUAUUUAUGUUUUAUGCCUCAAGUAGCAAGAAGGGGGAUAAAAUUACACUGUAAAAAAAUUUGAUUCAUGAAUUAUAAUGUAAAGUAGUGAUUUGGUCCAGUUGAAAAAGGUCAAAAAUUAGCAUUUCGGAAGCUGUCAAAAGAUUUCAAGCCCCCCUUCACAUAAAAUUGUCCAUAUUUUGAGUUAGAGCUGAUGAAGUUUUCUAUAAUUUUGAUAUAAUUUGUCCCAAAAGUAGUUCAACACACUGUAAAAAUAUUAUGGAGAAAGCGCAGGUGGGUUUUUUUUUAUUUCCAUUUAUUGUCUAAAGGAAAUGCACUACGAAAUAACUGUGUACUCGGAC